AGAAUAUAAAAACAUGUCUCUUAAUUUUUAAUUAAAAAACUAAGAACCGUCUCUUAAAACUCUUAUUUAAGAACCGGUUCUUAACUUUUUUAGUUAAAAGUUAAGAGAUAGGUUCUUAUAUUCC
Non-coding RNA from Brassica napus (rape), 124 nucleotides. NCBI's taxonomy places the organism in Eukaryota, Viridiplantae, Streptophyta, Magnoliopsida, Brassicales, Brassicaceae. The record is from Rfam.